This 426-nucleotide ribosomal RNA is filed under the name uncultured prokaryote. RNAcentral's name for it is "bacterial SSU rRNA". It matches the Rfam family "Bacterial small subunit ribosomal RNA", at positions 355 to 796 of the family's 1533-position model. The record is from RNAcentral.
UGGGGAAUUUUCCGCAAUGGGCGCAAGCCUGGCGGAGCAAUACCGCGUGAGGGAGGAAGGCUUUUGGGUUGUAAACCUCUUUUCUCAAGGAAGAAGCACUGACGGUACUUGAGGAAUCAGCAUCGGCUAACUCCGUGCCAGCAGCCGCGGUAAUACGGAGGAUGCAAGCGUUAUUCGGAAUUAUUGGGCGUAAAGCGUCCGCAGGUGGUGCCUCAAGUCUGCUGUCAAAGACUGCAGCUCAACUGUGGGCGAGCAACUGAAACUGAUGAACUAGAGUGCGGUAGGGGUAGGGGGAAUUCCCAGUGUAGCGGUGAAAUGCGUAGAUAUUGGGAAGAACACCAGUGGCGAAGGCGCUCUACUGGGCCGCAACUGACGCUGAGGGACGAAAGCUAGGGGAGCGAAAGGGAUUAGAUACCCGCGUAGUCC